Molecule: ribosomal RNA, 430 nt
Filed under: uncultured bacterium
Lineage: Bacteria
Description: partial 16S ribosomal RNA
Rfam family: Bacterial small subunit ribosomal RNA
Source: RNAcentral
AACGAACGCUGGCGGCAGGCCUAACACAUGCAAGUCGAGCGCGCCCUUCGGGGUGAGCGGCGGACGGGUGAGUAACGCGUGGGAACGUGCCCUUUUCUACGGAAUAGCCUCGGGAAACUGAGAGUAAUACCGUAUACGCCCUUUGGGGGAAAGAUUUAUCGGAAAAGGAUCGGCCCGCGUUGGAUUAGGUAGUUGGUGGGGUAAUGGCCUACCAAGCCGACGAUCCAUAGCUGGUUUGAGAGGAUGAUCAGCCACACUGGGACUGAGACACGGCCCAGACUCCUACGGGAGGCAGCAGUGGGGAAUCUUAGACAAUGGGGGCAACCCUGAUCUAGCCAUGCCGCGUGAGUGAUGAAGGCCUUAGGGUUGUAAAGCUCUUUCAGCUGGGAAGAUAAUGACGGUACCAGCAGAAGAAGCCCCGGCUAACUCC